GUCAUAUCACGAUGAAACACUGUUUCCCGUACGAUCACCGAAGAUAAGCAACAUCAAGCCUGGUCAGUAAUUAGGUGGUUGACCGCUUGGGAAUACCAGAUACUGUAAG
Non-coding RNA from Acanthosepion pharaonis, 109 nucleotides. The record is from the annotation of a GenBank genome assembly. NCBI's taxonomy places the organism in Eukaryota, Metazoa, Mollusca, Cephalopoda, Sepiida, Sepiidae.